Molecule: unclassified non-coding RNA, 383 nt
Filed under: uncultured bacterium
Lineage: Bacteria
Description: contains 16S-23S intergenic spacer region
Source: RNAcentral
UCCUGGUUUCCCAGGCAGUCUCGCUAGAGUGCCUCCUUACGGAGUAGCAACUAGCGACAGGAGUUGCGCUCGUUAAAGGACUUAACCCAACAUCUCACGACACGAGCUGACGACAGCCAUGCAGCACCUGUGUACCUGUUCAGGCUUUCGCCUGAAAAACUGUAUUUCCACAGCGGUCAAGUACAUGUCAAGCCUAGGUAAGGUUCCUCGCGUAGUGUCGAAUUAAACCACAUGUUCCACCGCUUGUGCGGACCCCCGUCAAUUCCUUUGAGUUUUAAUCUUGCGACCGUACUUCCCAGGCGGAUCACUUAACGCGUUAGCUACGACACUAAUCACGCAAGCGCGAUUAACGUCUAGUGAUCAUCGUUUACGGCGUGGACUAC